UACGGAGGGUGCUAGCGUUGUUCGGAAUUACUGGGCGUAAAGGGCGCGUAGGCGGCCGUUUGCGUCGGAUGUGAAAGCCCGGGGUUCAACCUCGGAACGGCAUUCGAUACGGGACGGCUGGAGACCGGGAGAGGAGAGUGGAAUAGCCAGUGUAGAGGUGAAAUUCGUAGAUAUUGGCUGGAACACCGGUGGCGAAAGCGGCUCUCUGGCCCGGUUCUGACGCUGAGGCGCGAAAGCGUGGGGAGCAAACAGG
Molecule: ribosomal RNA, 253 nt
Filed under: uncultured bacterium
Lineage: Bacteria
Description: partial 16S ribosomal RNA
Rfam family: Bacterial small subunit ribosomal RNA
Source: RNAcentral